Molecule: ribosomal RNA, 646 nt
Filed under: bacterium HN3-5-34
Lineage: Bacteria
Description: bacterial SSU rRNA
Rfam family: Bacterial small subunit ribosomal RNA
Source: RNAcentral
CCUACGGGAGGCAGCAGUAGGGAAUCUUCCACAAUGGACGAAAGUCUGAUGGAGCAACGCCGCGUGAGUGAUGAAGGUUUUCGGAUCGUAAAACUCUGUUGUAAGGGAAGAACAAGUACGUUAGGAAAUGAACGUACCUUGACGGUACCUUAUUAGAAAGCCACGGCUAACUACGUGCCAGCAGCCGCGGUAAUACGUAGGUGGCAAGCGUUGUCCGGAUUUAUUGGGCGUAAAGCGCGCGCAGGUGGUUUCUUAAGUCUGAUGUGAAAGCCCACGGCUCAACCGUGGAGGGUCAUUGGAAACUGGGAGACUUGAGUGCAGAAGAGGAUAGUGGAAUUCCAAGUGUAGCGGUGAAAUGCGUAGAGAUUUGGAGGAACACCAGUGGCGAAGGCGACUGUCUGGUCUGUAACUGACACUGAGGCGCGAAAGCGUGGGGAGCAAACAGGAUUAGAUACCCUGGUAGUCCACGCCGUAAACGAUGAGUGCUAAGUGUUAGGGGGUUUCCGCCCCUUAGUGCUGCAGCUAACGCAUUAAGCACUCCGCCUGGGGAGUACGACCGCAAGGUUGAAACUCAAAGGAAUUGACGGGGGCCCGCACAAGCGGUGGAGCAUGGUGGUUUAAUUCGAAGCAACGCGAAGAACCUUAC